GAUGAACGCUGGCGGCGUGCCUAAUACAUGCAAGUCGAGCGAACAGACGAGGAGCUUGCUCCUCUGACGUUAGCGGCGGACGGGUGAGUAACACGUGGAUAACCUACCUAUAAGACUGGGAUAACUUCGGGAAACCGGAGCUAAUACCGGAUAAUAUAUUGAACCGCAUGGUUCAAUAGUGAAAGACGGUUUUGCUGUCACUUAUAGAUGGAUCCGCGCCGCAUUAGCUAGUUGGUAAGGUAACGGCUUACCAAGGCGACGAUGCGUAGCCGACCUGAGAGGUGGUUCGCCCACACGGAACUGGGGACCCGUCCCAGACCCCAAGGGAGGCCAGCGUAGGGAAAUCUUCCGAAAGGGGCGAAGGCCUGAGGAGGCAAGGCGGCGGAGGUGAGGAGGGCCUCCGAUUCGUAAACCCCUUUUAUAGGGAAAAAACAAAGGUGUAGUUAACAAGGAAGUUUUGACGGUAACCUAACAAAAAGGCCCCGGUAACUUCCGU
RNAcentral lists this ribosomal RNA (496 nucleotides) under uncultured bacterium. Its description in RNAcentral is "partial 16S ribosomal RNA". It matches the Rfam family "Bacterial small subunit ribosomal RNA", at positions 28 to 506 of the family's 1533-position model. The record is from RNAcentral.